GGACCCGCACAAGUAGUGGAGCAUGUGGUUUAAUUCGAAGAUACGCGCAGAACCUUACCAACACUUGACAUGUUCGUCGCGACUUUAAGAGAUUAAAGUUUUCGGUUCGGCCGGACGAAACACAGGUGCUGCAUGGCUGUCGUCAGCUCGUGUCGUGAGAUGUUGGGUUAAGUCCCGCAACGAGCGCAACCCUCACUUUUAGUUGCCAUCAUUAAGUUGGGCACUCUGAAAGAACUGCCAGUGAUAAGCUGGAGGAAGGUGGGGAUGACGUCAAGUCCUCAUGGCCCUUACGUGUUGGGCUACACACGUGCUACAAUGGUAUCUACAACAGGAAGCAAGACGGCGACGUUAAGCAAAUCCUUAAAAGAUACCUCAGUUCGGAUUGCACUCUGCAACUCGAGUGCAUGAAGCUGGAAUUACUAGUAAUCGUGGAU
RNAcentral lists this ribosomal RNA (434 nucleotides) under uncultured bacterium. Its description in RNAcentral is "bacterial SSU rRNA". It matches the Rfam family "Bacterial small subunit ribosomal RNA", at positions 917 to 1349 of the family's 1533-position model. The record is from RNAcentral.